CAUCCUUGAAAGAGUGCGUAAUAGCUCACUGGUCGAGUGGUCGUGCGCCGACAAUUCAGCGGGGCUCAAGCGCGCCGCCGAGGCCGCGGACCCGCCCCCCCUUCUGUCACUGUAUGUGUGUGGGGGGUGUGGGUGGUAGGGGAGCGUCCUGCGUGGGGUGAAGCCCGGGGGUGACCGUGGGUGGACUGCGUGGGAGUGAGGAUGCAGGCAUGAGUAGCGAUGACUGGGGUGGGAGUCCCCAGCGCCGAGAGACCAAGGGUUCCAGGGGCAGGUUCGUCCUCCCUGGGUGAGUCGGGACCUAAGGCGAGGCCGACAGGCGUAGUCGAUGGAUGACGGGUUGAUAUUCCCGUACCGGCGAAGCACCGACCAUGCUGACGCGCGGGUGCUAACCCACGCCCCUGCUGCCACGACAAGCCGCGGUCGUCUCCUUCGGGGGGUGGUCGUGGUUGUGGCGGCGGGUGGUCUGGGGGUCCUCCGUGCUGGUAGGCAAGCGUGUUAACAGGGGUGACGCACAGUGGUAGCCCGGCGGGCCUGAUGGCUUGGCCCGUUCAAGCGCGCAGCCCGGUCCCCAGGCAAAUCCGGGGACCAGCCCCCCCCACCCGGGGGGCGCGGGUGAGGCGUGAUGGUGACCCCGCCCACGCGGCGGGGGAUAACAGGGUGAUCCUGGGGUGCCGAGAAAAGCCUCGACGCGAUGGUGACGGCCGCCCGUACCCCACACCGACACAGGUGGUCCGGCAGAGUAUGCCUAGGCGAGCGAGUGAACCGUGGUGAAGGAACUCGGCAAAUUGCCCCCGUAACUUCGGGAGAAGGGGGGCCCGGGCCCUGAAGCAGCAGGCCUGCUAGGGGCGAGGGCCGCAGAGAGCAGGGGGGAGCGACUGUUUACUAAAAACACAGGUCCGUGCGAAGCCGCAAGGCGAUGUAUACGGACUGACGCCUGCCCGGUGCUGGAAGGUUAAGAGGAUCCCUCAACCCCCCGCGCGGGGGUGAAGGGGUGAGUUCAAGCCCCAGUAAACGGCGGUGGUAACUAUAACCAUCCUAAGGUAGCGAAAUUCCUUGUCGGGUAAGUUCCGACCUGCACGAAUGGCGUAACGACUUCCCCGCUGUCUCCACCACGGGCUCGGCGAAAUUGCACUACGAGUAAAGAUGCUCGUUACGCGCAGAAGGACGGAAAGACCCCGGGACCUUUACUACAACUUGGUAUUGGCGUCCGCCACGGCUUGUGCAGGAUAGGUGGGAGACCACGACCCCGAUCGCGCCAGCGACGGGCGAGUCACUGUUGAGAUACCACUCUGGCCGCGGCGUGCGCCUGAACCUCGGCCCGUGACCCGGGCCAGGGACAGUGCCUGGCGGGUAGUUUAACUGGGGCGGUUGCCUCCCAAAGAGUAACGGAGGCGCUCAAAGGUCCCCUCAGCCUGGUCGGCAACCAGGUGGCGAGUGCAAGUGCACAAGGGGGCUUGACUGCGAGACCGACGGGUCGGGCAGGUGCGAAAGCAGGAACUAGUGAUCCGGCGAUCCCGCGUGGGCGGGUCGUCGCUCAACGGAUAAAAGGUACCCCGGGGAUAACAGGCUGAUCCUGCCC
RNAcentral lists this ribosomal RNA (1579 nucleotides) under human oral metagenome. RNAcentral's name for it is "bacterial LSU rRNA". It matches the Rfam family "Bacterial large subunit ribosomal RNA", at positions 1117 to 2493 of the family's 2925-position model. The record is from RNAcentral.